Molecule: long non-coding RNA, 622 nt
Filed under: Vigna radiata
Lineage: Eukaryota; Viridiplantae; Streptophyta; Magnoliopsida; Fabales; Fabaceae
Description: long non-coding RNA (VRAD_LNC013287)
Source: RNAcentral
GGGAAUUUUUUGGAAUAUUAUUUUGGGACUUCAAGACGGCAAGAACGUCAACAACCACUCUUCAGCCACGCGUAUUGUCCAUCUCACCUCAGCCUCAUAUCACAUUUCACAUUUCUCACAUCAGAGGCAUUUCAUUUUCGCUCUCAAGAGAGCUCCUCAUCCUCUAACCACAUCUUCAAUUUUCAUCUUCUUCAUAAGUGUUCCUCAUCAUAAAAUCUUCAUUUUUUCCUCUCCAAAAAACCCUAGCCACUCUUCGAUCUCGCAUUUCUCACAUAUCUUCAUCCUUUUCGCCUUUUAUGUUCAAUUUCAUUGAUUGAAACAUCAUUUUUCAUAUUUUCCAUCAAAUAAACACCUUUCUCACCGAUUAUUUUCAUUUUCUACCGAUUAAAUUCAUGUUUCCACCGUUUAAUCGGUUUAUAUUAGGGUUUCUUCGCCAUGCUAUGGUUCAUUCAUAUUUUUAAGGUUUUCUACCGAUCAAACCCUAAAUCCUUGAGUUCUUGUGAGUUCAAUCUCACUUUUGGUCCGAUUAGAGUUUCCUUCCCUCUCCUUCAAGUGUUCCUCAUCAUUCCACUACAUCUUUGUUCGUCGGAGAAGUUUCGAGGAGAUCAGAUUCGUGCUCGUG